GACAGAGGGUGCAAACGUUGUUCGGAAUUACUGGGCGUAAAGCGUGCGCAGGCGGUCUUGUAAGACAGAGGUGAAAUCCCCGGGCUCAACCUGGGAACUGCCUUUGUGACUGCAAGGCUUGAGUACGGUAGAGGGGGAUGGAAUUCCGCGUGUAGCAGUGAAAUGCGUAGAUAUGCGGAGGAACACCGAUGGCGAAGGCAAUCCCCUGGACCUGUACUGACGCUCAUGCACGAAAGCGUGGGGAGCAAACAGG
Molecule: ribosomal RNA, 253 nt
Filed under: uncultured bacterium
Lineage: Bacteria
Description: partial 16S ribosomal RNA
Rfam family: Bacterial small subunit ribosomal RNA
Source: RNAcentral